UGGGGAAUUUUGGACAAUGGGCGAAAGCCUGAUCCAGCAAUGCCGCGUGUGUGAAGAAGGCCUUCGGGAUGUAAAGCACUUUUGUCCGGAAAGAAAUGGCUCUGGUUAAUACCUGGGGUCGAUGACGGUACCGGAAGAAUAAGGACCGGCUAACUACGUGCCAGCAGCCGCGGUAAUACGUAGGGUCCAAGCGUUAAUCGGAAUUACUGGGCGUAAAGCGUGCGCAGGCGGUUGUGCAAGACCGAUGUGAAAUCCCCGAGCUUAACUUGGGAAUUGCAUUGGUGACUGCACGGCUAGAGUGUGUCAGAGGGGGGUAGAAUUCCACGUGUAGCAGUGAAAUGCGUAGAGAUGUGGAGGAAUACCGAUGGCGAAGGCAGCCCCCUGGGAUAACACUGACGCUCAUGCACGAAAGCGUGGGGAGCAAACAGG
Molecule: ribosomal RNA, 429 nt
Filed under: bacterium
Lineage: Bacteria
Description: partial 16S ribosomal RNA
Rfam family: Bacterial small subunit ribosomal RNA
Source: RNAcentral